RNAcentral lists this ribosomal RNA (497 nucleotides) under uncultured bacterium. Its description in RNAcentral is "partial 16S ribosomal RNA". It matches the Rfam family "Bacterial small subunit ribosomal RNA", at positions 28 to 507 of the family's 1533-position model. The record is from RNAcentral.
GAUGAACGCUGGCGGCGUGCCUAACACAUGCAAGUCGAGCGAACAGACGAGGAGCUUGCUCCUCUGACGUUAGGGGCGGAAGGGUGUGUAACAUGUGUAUAACGCACCUAUAAGUCUGGUAUAUCUUCGGGAAACCGGAUCUAAUACGCGAGAAUAUAUUGAACCCCAUGGUUCAAUAGUGAAUGACGGUUUUUCUGUCACUUCUAGAUGGAUUUGGGCCGCAGUAGGUAGUUGGUAAGGUAACGGCUUUUCAUGGCGACGAUGCGUAGACGACCGGAGUGGGUGAUCGGCCGCACGGGAGCUUAGACACCGUCCAGACUACUACGGUAGGCCGCAGUAGGCAAUGUUCCGCAAUGGGCGAAAACCUAGCAGAGCAGCGCCGCGUGUGUGAUGAAGGUGUUCGGAUCGUGAAAAUCUCUUAUUAGGGAGAAACAGAUGUGUCAGUAACUGUGCACGUCUUGACGGUACCUAAUCAGAAAGCAACGGCUAACUACGUG